UACGGAGGGUGCAAGCGUUAUCCGGAUUCACUGGGUUUAAAGGGUGCGUAGGUGGGCAAGUAAGUCAGUGGUGAAAUCUCCGGGCUUAACCCGGAAACUGCCAUUGAUACUAUUUGUCUUGAAUACUGUGGAGGUCAGCGGAAUAUGUCAUGUAGCGGUGAAAUGCUUAGAUAUGACAUAGAACACCAAUUGCGAAGGCAGCUUACUACGGAUACAUUGACACUGAGGCACGAAAGCGUGGGGAUCAAACAGG
RNAcentral lists this ribosomal RNA (253 nucleotides) under uncultured bacterium. Its description in RNAcentral is "partial 16S ribosomal RNA". It matches the Rfam family "Bacterial small subunit ribosomal RNA", at positions 524 to 776 of the family's 1533-position model. The record is from RNAcentral.